Molecule: long non-coding RNA, 1208 nt
Filed under: Marmota monax (woodchuck)
Lineage: Eukaryota; Metazoa; Chordata; Mammalia; Rodentia; Sciuridae
Source: RNAcentral
CAGGUACUCUCAACCUUAAGUGGAUGCUGGUUUUAACGCACAUCUAUCAAAUACCAAAUAUAGCAUCAAUUGAAGGGAGGGGACAUGUGCCCUCCUUAAUCUGGACUAACCCUAAAGAUAAACUGGUAAUCAACACAACGCAACAGAAGACAUACUGAGUGUCUUCUGAGGCUGAUUCAGAAAUGGUCAAGUAGCUUCUGCCUAAUGCUCUUAAAAUGCUUAUUCUGGGGUAAUCCAACCAGAUGCCAUGUAAACAUUUUGAAACUGUCCUACUGAAAGCCCAUGUAUGAACAUUCUGAUUGACAGCCCAGCUGAGUUUCAGCUGACAACCAACAUCAAGUGCCAGCCAGGUGAGUGAGCCAAAUUGGAAAUACACCCCAUAGAGCCUUCAGAUCAUUGCAGCACAGCCAACAUCUGACUGCAGCUGCAUGAGAGACCCUAAGUGACAGCUGCAUAGCAAGUCCUUCUUGAAUUCCUGACCUAUAAAACUGUGAGCAAAAUUAAAGGGGUGUUUUAAGCAGCUAGGCUCAGUGAGAAUAUGCUACACAGCUAGUAACCAGAACACAGGAGCUCUGGAGCCUUUACAUACUUUAAUGUCCUCUAUGCAUUGCCAUCUAGUCUAAUUUACAGUUUUGCAAAUGACAUAUUUUAAUAUUUCCAAAGAAGUAUACUUUCACUGAUAGCAGUCAUGUGUUAAUACAAAGAGCUAGCUUCAUUUGCAUUUAAAUGCCCCCAAGAACUUGUCUCUAAGUAUUUGGAGAGCCAGACACAAUUGGAAUAAAAAAAAAAAAAGACAAUAGGUUGACUCUGCUAAUUUUCUUUAUCAUACUAUUGUUUUAAAAAGAUUAUUCCUAGUUAUAUAAUGGUUAGCCAGUCAAGGACCUUUGUCCAACUUUGAACAUAUUAAUUAUCUUCCAUCUUAGUUCCACAAAUUCAAGGAUGUGAGUAAUUUAUAUCUGCCUUGAUACUGUCUUCUAGGAGAAUGAGAAUUUUAAAGAGAUGAACUUUGAACACUUUUACUUUAAAAGAAAACUUUUUUAUGAUUUUUUAAAAUAGGAAAAUUUUAUUCUUGCAAGAUAUUAAGACUCUAUAUUGGGGAGGAGUGUUGCACAGGCAUAGACUUGAUCAGUGGUAGGUAUAAAAUUUAUGUAUCUCUCUAAUACUUUCGAUAACUCUUCAUUCCUUUUUGAUACGUCAUGGAAUUUGUU